Seriola aureovittata is the source of this 950-nucleotide long non-coding RNA. RefSeq lists it as uncharacterized. Lineage: Eukaryota; Metazoa; Chordata; Actinopteri; Carangiformes; Carangidae. The transcript is spliced from 3 exons. The record is from RefSeq and is a predicted model, not a curated record.
ACAGGCUGCUGCUGAGCUGAAGAUGGAUAAGCGGAAGAAACGCCCGGGUGGCGCUGAAAAACUGCGACUUAAAAAGCUGAAGUCUCUGGAGGUGGCGGCUGCUAAAUAUUCUAAAUUGACGGACCUAUCUGGUGCCGGGGUCACCGGCCCAGCAGGUGCUGCCGCGCCGGGAGACGAGCGAGAGGAGACAUACAUGGUUGACCACCCUAUAUAUGAGAGCCUAAGGAGUUGUUUUCCCUCUGUCCCCUUUUGAGGACCUCCUUUGUCUCCUCCAUCAUUCACUGGGCCACUUUUGGGUUCCUGAGCUCAUUUCAUGUGCUGAGAGGAAUGCAAUAUGUGUAUGUUUAAAGGUUUAUGUGAAGAAACAUACUAUAUGUGUGAUAAAAUGACAAUUGGUCAUUCAUAAAUAUCUCUUUAUAUUCUCUGCUACCAUUAUCUCCUGUCAAACAGGUUUUCCUGACCUGCUAGAAGUUCUUUUAUGAUGCUUGAGUCAUCCAUCAUAUCUGAGAGCUUCGUCUUGACUUUGUCAUGAAUUUGGUGAGGAGCGGAGCUGGCUGGCUGCGGACGAGGAAGUAGGGCAAUACAUACUUGUGCACAUACACAUAUAUGAGAAUGCAUAUCUAUUCAGACCUGUAACCCAUGUCUUAGACUUUUUCACACAGCUAUAUAUUUUUUUUUUCUCACCGUUGAGCGAGUGAGUUUCAGCUCUAAUGCUGCUACUGUCUGUAAUAUGUUUCUAUUUAGAUUAUUUGUCAGGAUAUUUUUUUGUUAUUAUUGUCCGAGUCUGGUUUUAACUAAUGCUGGGCUUACAGACUAAAAACUGAAAGGGUAGCAUAAAGGUUCUUCCCGUUAGUCUCGUCCCACCCCUAGUCAUGACAUAACUUCUGUUAUGAUUUGACACUAUAAUGAAUAAAGAUUGAUUGAUUGAUUGCUAUAGCUGUCAAUUUUAG